RNAcentral lists this unclassified non-coding RNA (421 nucleotides) under Lactuca tatarica. RNAcentral's name for it is "contains 3' external transcribed spacer, ETS". Lineage: Eukaryota; Viridiplantae; Streptophyta; Magnoliopsida; Asterales; Asteraceae. The record is from RNAcentral.
GGGUUUUUGGUUUGUAACGGGUGGUUGGAUGUCUGCUUGCGCAGCAACUUCCAUGCCGUCUUACCUCUUCAGUUGCGUUACAAGGCAAUUUUGCCUUGAACAUAAGUGGGUUCCUGUGUUGCAUACCUAAUUGAUGGCAUUGUGUUGUUUGAAUAGAGUUUCCUUUCGUUAAGCGUCGCAKGCGGUGCCAACGAACCUUGAAGCUGUCUUUGUGGUCCAUGUUGUUAUUGCGGAUGUCUUGACGGCAUGGCCCUAUGAAGUGUUGCUUGGUCUCUUGGAUAUGGAACCUGGUGUGGGCACUUGGUCAGUCAUGAUCAUGUAUUUUGCCCUACAUUAGCGUUUUGCUUCUCUAGACGACUGUCUUUCUUGCAUUGACUUGUUGGUGCAGGGUAGGCUUASUCGAAGAGGAAUGCUACCUGGU